UCCUUGGUGGGCAUGGAUGAAGAGGUUCCAUCUUCCUGAAGCAGAACGUCUCAAUGGUCGUGCUGCAAUGAUUGGUUUCUUUAUGGCCUACUUUGUGGAUAGCUUGACCGAUAUAGGCCUCGUCGACCAAAUGGGGAAUUUCUUUUGCAAAACACUAUUGUUUGUAGCCGUGGCUGGUGUCCUCCUAAUCCGCAAGAAUGAGGAUUUAGAAACUAUCAAAAAGUUGUUGGAAGAGACUACUUUCUAUGACAAGCAAUGGCAAGCAUCUUGGAAAGAUGAGACCUCAAGCAGUUCGAAGGAUUCUUGAGAUUGUUCCUCGUAUAACAUUAGUUUUUCAUACUUACAGGAAGAUGUAAUCCAG
Molecule: unclassified non-coding RNA, 361 nt
Filed under: Hevea brasiliensis (rubber tree)
Lineage: Eukaryota; Viridiplantae; Streptophyta; Magnoliopsida; Malpighiales; Euphorbiaceae
Source: RNAcentral